Molecule: ribosomal RNA, 1140 nt
Filed under: uncultured bacterium
Lineage: Bacteria
Description: bacterial SSU rRNA
Rfam family: Bacterial small subunit ribosomal RNA
Source: RNAcentral
AGUGGGGAAUAUUGCACAAUGGGCGAAAGCCUGAUGCAGCCAUGCCGCGUGUAUGAAGAAGGCCUUCGGGUUGUAAAGUACUUUCAGUUGUGAGGAAGGGGGUAGCGUUAAUAGCGCUAUCUCUUGACGUUAGCAACAGAAGAAGCACCGGCUAACUCCGUGCCAGCAGCCGCGGUAAUACGGAGGGUGCGAGCGUUAAUCGGAAUUACUGGGCGUAAAGCGCAUGCAGGUGGUUCAUUAAGUCAGAUGUGAAAGCCCGGGGCUCAACCUCGGAACUGCAUUUGAAACUGGUGAACUAGAGUGCUGUAGAGGGGGGUAGAAUUUCAGGUGUAGCGGUGAAAUGCGUAGAGAUCUGAAGGAAUACCAGUGGCGAAGGCGGCCCCCUGGACAGACACUGACACUCAGAUGCGAAAGCGUGGGGAGCAAACAGGAUUAGAUACCCUGGUAGUCCACGCCGUAAACGAUGUCUACUUGGAGGUUGUGGCCUUGAGCCGUGGCUUUCGGAGCUAACGCGUUAAGUAGACCGCCUGGGGAGUACGGUCACAAGAUUAAAACUCAAAUGAAUUGACGGGGGCCCGCACAAGCGGUGGAGCAUGUGGUUUAAUUCGAUGCAACGCGAAGAACCUUACCUACUCUUGACAUCCAGAGAAGCCAGCGGAGACGCAGGUGUGCCUUCGGGAACUCUGAGACAGGUGCUGCAUGGCUGUCGUCAGCUCGUGUUGUGAAAUGUUGGGUUAAGUCCCGCAACGAGCGCAACCCUUAUCCUUGUUUGCCAGCGAGUAAUGUCGGGAACUCCAGGGAGACUGCCGGUGAUAAACCGGAGGAAGGUGGGGACGACGUCAAGUCAUCAUGGCCCUUACGAGUAGGGCUACACACGUGCUACAAUGGCGCAUACAGAGGGCAGCAAGCUAGCGAUAGUGAGCGAAUCCCAAAAAGUGCGUCGUAGUCCGGAUUGGAGUCUGCAACUCGACUCCAUGAAGUCGGAAUCGCUAGUAAUCGUGAAUCAGAAUGUCAUGGUGAAUACGUUUCCCGGGCCUUGUACACACCGCCCGUCACACCCUGGGAGUGGGCUGCAAAAGAAGUGGGUAGUUUAACCUUACGGAGAGGACGCUCACCACUUUGUGGAUCAUGACUGGGGUG